Molecule: microRNA precursor, 169 nt
Filed under: Hordeum vulgare
Lineage: Eukaryota; Viridiplantae; Streptophyta; Magnoliopsida; Poales; Poaceae
Description: microRNA MIR2118
Rfam family: MIR2118 microRNA precursor family
Source: RNAcentral
GCUAGGAAGGGGAAGAAUGAGAGGGUCCAAGAGUAGCAAGAAUGGGAACAUUGAGGAAAACAUGAGAUUCUAGAUUUCCUCUCCCAACAAAGAAGAGAUCUAGCUCCGUGUUUUUUCAAUGCCUCCCAUUCCUAUUGUUCUUGGAUGCUCCUUCCCCUUCCUUUUGUCU